This 588-nucleotide ribosomal RNA is filed under the name uncultured bacterium. RNAcentral describes it as "partial 16S ribosomal RNA". It matches the Rfam family "Bacterial small subunit ribosomal RNA", at positions 355 to 1375 of the family's 1533-position model. The record is from RNAcentral.
UGGGGAAUUUUGGACAAUGGGCGAAAGCCUGAUCCAGCAAUGCCGCGUGUGUGAAGAAGGCCUUCGGGUUGUAAAGCACUUUUGUCCGGAAAGAAAUCCUUGGCUCUAAUACAGUCGGGGGAUGACGGUACCGGAAGAAUAAGCACCGGCUAACUACGUGCCAGCAGCCGCGGUAAUACGUAGGGUGCAAGCGUUAAUCGGAAUUACUGGGCGUAAAGCGUGCGCAGGCGGUUUGCUAAGACCGAUGUGAAAUCCCCGGGCUCAACCUGGGAACUGCAUUGGUGACUGGCAGGCUAGAGUAUGGCAGAGGGGGGUAGAAUUCCACGUGUAGCAGUGAAAUGCGUAGAGAUGUGGAGGAAUACCGAUGGCGAAGGCAGCCCCCUGGGCCAAUACUGACGCUCAUGCACGAAAGCGUGGGGAGCAAAACAGGAUUAGAUACCCCUGGUAGUCCACGCCCUAAACGAUGUCAACUAGUUGUUGGGGAUUCAUUUCCUUAGUAACGUAGCUAACGCGUGAAGUUGACCGCCUGGGGGAGUACGGUCGCAAGAUUAAAACUCAAAGGAAUUGACGGGGUCAUAGCUGUUUCCU